Non-coding RNA from Myodes glareolus (Bank vole), 986 nucleotides. NCBI's taxonomy places the organism in Eukaryota, Metazoa, Chordata, Mammalia, Rodentia, Cricetidae. The record is from RefSeq and is a predicted model, not a curated record.
CAGGCACCUGGCCAGCUGGAGGGCUUGCCUCCUAUGGAGCAUCCCCAGGACUGGCAGCUUCCACCAUCUGGAGUCAGCUUCCUCUGCAGGGGAAUCCCGGACCUGCACCUCCCUCAAGAGACCUCCAAACUCAGGGGGCAGGGCCUUAGGUCUGCGCUGGUCUUCGUCCAGUGAGUUGGGAAGUGUCUACGGUGGCUUUUGGUGUCUGCGGUGGCUCUGGACUUUACAAAAGCUCAUGGAGACAGACGGAACAGUCUCUAGAGUCUUGUCACUGAACAUGGAUGUCACAGUUCUGGCUAGGCUGGUUGACCACCAGGAUUCUGAGAUCCACCUGUCUCCUCUCUCUGGUACUGGGGUGGCAGGCGCUCACAGCAUCGAUGGCUUUUACACAGCAACGAUAAAGCCGUUGAUUACCACGAGGACCAGCCACACAAUAAGAAGACCUUUGGUUAAACAACCACAAAGAAUUUAAAUCAUGGCGACCCCAGAGAGGGAAACCAAGUGGAGGACUGAAUGCAAUUGCCUGGUCACCCGCAGGACGCCAGCCCAGCUCUCAUAGUGGACACCUAUCAACACCACUCAACGCUGUUGCUGAGCCACAAGCCUUCCUUCCACCCAUCUCAGAUGAGGGAACCAAUGCUCAAAGAGAUACAGUCACUUGCAGGAUCACGCAGCCCGUUCCUUGGAGGUCCCCCACUAAGAGCGCUAUUAUUGGGAACUGGUUCCCAGCAGCCCUGGUUGUAACACAGCACUGCUGGGUGCUGGGACUAGUGAGCUACUACCAACACUCAGGAGACUUGGCGAGUGACCCUGCCUGCCUGUGGGUCAGGCCUCAGCUUUAGGGCUGGCAUGGCCAAUCACGCUCUACUGGGCUGGGUGCCUGUUGUGUGAUGUAUUUUCCUCUGGGCAUAACAUGAUUCCAUUCUGGAGUGGAAAAUACGUUGGCUGAGUAGCCAUGGCAACUCAAGUAGACCAAUACAGUGGUA